GGUUAAGCGACUAAGCGUACACGGUGGAUGCCCUGGCAGUCAGAGGCGAUGAAGGACGUGCUAAUCUGCGAUAAGCGUCGGUAAGGUGAUAUGAACCGUUAUAACCGGCGAUUUCCGAAUGGGGAAACCCAGUGUGAUUCGUCACACUAUCAUUAACUGAAUCCAUAGGUUAAUGAGGCGAACCGGGGGAACUGAAACAUCUAAGUACCCCGAGGAAAAGAAAUCAACCGAGAUUCCCCCAGUAGCGGCGAGCGAACGGGGAGGAGCCCAGAGCCUGAAUCAGUGUGUGUGUUAGUGGAAGCGUCUGGAAAGGCGCGCGAUACAGGGUGACAGCCCCGUACACAAAAAUGCACAUGCUGUGAGCUCGAUGAGUAGGGCGGGACACGUGGUAUCCUGUCUGAAUAUGGGGGGACCAUCCUCCAAGGCUAAAUACUCCUGACUGACCGAUAGUGAACCAGUACCGUGAGGGAAAGGCGAAAAGAACCCCGGCGAGGGGAGUGAAAAAGAACCUGAAACCGUGUACGUACAAGCAGUGGGAGCCUCUUUUAUGGGGUGACUGCGUACCUUUUGUAUAAUGGGUCAGCGACUUAUAUUCUGUAGCAAGGUUAACCGAAUAGGGGAGCCGAAGGGAAACCGAGUCUUAACUGGGCGUUAAGUUGCAGGGUAUAGACCCGAAACCCGGUGAUCUAGCCAUGGGCAGGUUGAAGGUUGGGUAACACUAACUGGAGGACCGAACCGACUAAUGUUGAAAAAUUAGCGGAUGACUUGUGGCUGGGGGUGAAAGGCCAAUCAAACCGGGAGAUAGCUGGUUCUCCCCGAAAGCUAUUUAGGUAGCGCCUCGUGAACUCAUCUCCGGGGGUAGAGCACUGUUUCGGCAAGGGGGUCAUCCCGACUUACCAACCCGAUGCAAACUGCGAAUACCGGAGAAUGUUAUCACGGGAGACACACGGCGGGUGCUAACGUCCGUCGUGAAGAGGGAAACAACCCAGACCGCCAGCUAAGGUCCCAAAGUCAUGGUUAAGUGGGAAACGAUGUGGGAAGGCCCAGACAGCCAGGAUGUUGGCUUAGAAGCAGCCAUCAUUUAAAGAAAGCGUAAUAGCUCACUGGUCGAGUCGGCCUGCGCGGAAGAUGUAACGGGGCUAAACCAUGCACCGAAGCUGCGGCAGCGACACUAUGUGUUGUUGGGUAGGGGAGCGUUCUGUAAGCCUGUGAAGGUGUGCUGUGAGGCAUGCUGGAGGUAUCAGAAGUGCGAAUGCUGACAUAAGUAACGAUAAAGCGGGUGAAAAGCCCGCUCGCCGGAAGACCAAGGGUUCCUGUCCAACGUUAAUCGGGGCAGGGUGAGUCGACCCCUAAGGCGAGGCCGAAAGGCGUAGUCGAUGGGAAACAGGUUAAUAUUCCUGUACUUGGUGUUACUGCGAAGGGGGGACGGAGAAGGCUAUGUUGGCCGGGCGACGGUUGUCCCGGUUUAAGCGUGUAGGCUGGUUUUCCAGGCAAAUCCGGAAAAUCAAGGCUGAGGCGUGAUGACGAGGCACUACGGUGCUGAAGCAACAAAUGCCCUGCUUCCAGGAAAAGCCUCUAAGCAUCAGGUAACAUCAAAUCGUACCCCAAACCGACACAGGUGGUCAGGUAGAGAAUACCAAGGCGCUUGAGAGAACUCGGGUGAAGGAACUAGGCAAAAUGGUGCCGUAACUUCGGGAGAAGGCACGCUGAUAUGUAGGUGAAGUCCCUCGCGGAUGGAGCUGAAAUCAGUCGAAGAUACCAGCUGGCUGCAACUGUUUAUUAAAAACACAGCACUGUGCAAACACGAAAGUGGACGUAUACGGUGUGACGCCUGCCCGGUGCCGGAAGGUUAAUUGAUGGGGUCAGCGCAAGCGAAGCUCUUGAUCGAAGCCCCGGUAAACGGCGGCCGUAACUAUAACGGUCCUAAGGUAGCGAAAUUCCUUGUCGGGUAAGUUCCGACCUGCACGAAUGGCGUAAUGAUGGCCAGGCUGUCUCCACCCGAGACUCAGUGAAAUUGAACUCGCUGUGAAGAUGCAGUGUACCCGCGGCAAGACGGAAAGACCCCGUGAACCUUUACUAUAGCUUGACACUGAACAUUGAGCCUUGAUGUGUAGGAUAGGUGGGAGGCUUAGAAGUGUGGACGCCAGUCUGCAUGGAGCCGACCUUGAAAUACCACCCUUUAAUGUUUGAUGUUCUAACGUUGACCCGUGAUCCGGGUUGCGGACAGUGUCUGGUGGGUAGUUUGACUGGGGCGGUCUCCUCCUAAAGAGUAACGGAGGAGCACGAAGGUUGGCUAAUCCUGGUCGGACAUCAGGAGGUUAGUGCAAUGGCAUAAGCCAGCUUGACUGCGAGCGUGACGGCGCGAGCAGGUGCGAAAGCAGGUCAUAGUGAUCCGGUGGUUCUGAAUGGAAGGGCCAUCGCUCAACGGAUAAAAGGUACUCCGGGGAUAACAGGCUGAUACCGCCCAAGAGUUCAUAUCGACGGCGGUGUUUGGCACCUCGAUGUCGGCUCAUCACAUCCUGGGGCUGAAGUAGGUCCCAAGGGUAUGGCUGUUCGCCAUUUAAAGUGGUACGCGAGCUGGGUUUAGAACGUCGUGAGACAGUUCGGUCCCUAUCUGCCGUGGGCGCUGGAGAACUGAGGGGGGCUGCUCCUAGUACGAGAGGACCGGAGUGGACGCAUCACUGGUGUUCGGGUUGUCAUGCCAAUGGCACUGCCCGGUAGCUAAAUGCGGAAGAGAUAAGUGCUGAAAGCAUCUAAGCACGAAACUUGCCCCGAGAUGAGUUCUCCCUGACUCCUUGAGAGUCCUGAAGGAACGUUGAAGACGACGACGUUGAUAGGCCGGGUGUGUAAGCGCAGCGAUGCGUUGAGCUAACCGGUACUAAUGAACCGUGAGGCUUAACCUU
RNAcentral lists this ribosomal RNA (2903 nucleotides) under Escherichia coli. RNAcentral describes it as "23S ribosomal RNA". It matches the Rfam family "Bacterial large subunit ribosomal RNA". Lineage: Bacteria; Pseudomonadati; Pseudomonadota; Gammaproteobacteria; Enterobacterales; Enterobacteriaceae. The record is from RNAcentral.